UAAACUGAUGAAAUUUUCAUUUUUGAACUAAGCCUGUAAUAAAAGAAUGUGGCCAUAUGCGUCACCCAAGAUGCGUGCUAAUGCCAGGUGUGAACAGAGCCACUGUGUGACUACACAAUCAACUUAGCAGAAUGGUUCCUGAGAGAGAUAUUGUUGUCAUUUAUUGUUUUUUCUUUUUUUUCUUUUCAAGAAGCCAAGUUCCUGGCUUCUCCCAAGACCUUCAAGGACCCAAUUGACCUCGGAAUCAGCUGUAAAGGAGGAUGAAACCGAUGUCUAAGAAUGGGACAGCGAUAUUG
Sinocyclocheilus anshuiensis is the source of this 296-nucleotide long non-coding RNA. RefSeq lists it as uncharacterized. The record is from RefSeq and is a predicted model, not a curated record. The transcript has 2 exons. Lineage: Eukaryota; Metazoa; Chordata; Actinopteri; Cypriniformes; Cyprinidae.